CAGCAGCCGCGGGAAUACGUAGGGUGCAAGCGUUAAUCGGAAUUACUGGGCGUAAAGCGUGCGCAGGCGGUCCGCUAAGACAGAUGUGAAAUCCCCGGGCUUAACCUGGGAACUGCAUUUGUGACUGGCGGGCUAGAGUAUGGCAGAGGGGGGUAGAAUUCCACGUGUAGCAGUGAAAUGCGUAGAGAUGUGGAGGAAUACCGAUGGCGAAGGCAGCCCCCUGGGCCAAUACUGACGCUCAUGCACGAAAGCGUGGGGAGCAAACAGGAUUAGAUACCCGAGUAGUCCCUGUCUCUUAUAC
Molecule: ribosomal RNA, 301 nt
Filed under: uncultured bacterium
Lineage: Bacteria
Description: partial 16S ribosomal RNA
Rfam family: Bacterial small subunit ribosomal RNA
Source: RNAcentral